Molecule: small nuclear RNA, 108 nt
Organism: Suncus etruscus (white-toothed pygmy shrew)
Lineage: Eukaryota; Metazoa; Chordata; Mammalia; Eulipotyphla; Soricidae
Source: RefSeq, a predicted model, not a curated record
GUGCUCACUUUGGCAGCACAUAUACUAAAAUUGCAUCCAAUACAGAGAAUAUAUGCAUGGCCCCUCUGCAAGGAUUACACACAAAUUCUUAAAGUGUUCCAUAUUAAA